CGGGAAGGGCAUAGUCCGUGCCGUCCAAGGUUUUCAGGGUGACCCCCUGCUUCAUCCGCAGGUCGAUGUAGUCGUCAAUGGGAAUGCCGCGAAUGCCGAACGCAAAGUUCCAGAAGGGAGACGUCUUCAUGGUUCCUCUUUCGAAACUGUUAAUCAGUUCGAUGAUGCC
RNAcentral lists this non-coding RNA (169 nucleotides) under Palpitomonas bilix. The record is from RNAcentral.